GGAAAUUGAUUCGAAGGUUGCAUAUUGGUGUUUUCUUGUGUUUUAUUUUUUCGAUAUUUAUAUUGCUUACAUAAAUUGUUGCUUUUGUGGUAUUGCAUUUUGUAUUGGUGUGUUGGUGUAUGGUAUCGGACCAGGUUGUAUUGUGUGGACUAAAAUGGAGGAGUCGGUAGGUAGUGCUAUGAUUAAACUCACAGGUCAAAAUUGGGUGACUUGGAAGCCUAGAAUGGAGGGAAUCCUUUAUUGUAAGGAUUUACAUGAACCUAUUGAAGGUCACGUAGCUAAACCAGAGGAAAUGACUGAAAAGCAAUGGUAUAUUCAGAAUAGAAAGGCCAUAGGAACAAUCAUACAGUGGGUGGAUGACAGUGUGUUUCGUCAUGUGGCGCGAGAGACAAAUGCUCAUAAACUAUGGACAAAAUUGGAGUUAAUGUUUGAGAAGAAAGCCAUAACUAACAAGUUUUUUCUGAUCAAAGACUUAGUCAAGUUGAAAUACAAGGAAGACAUGAGCAUGACAGAGCAUUUGGCUAAUUUCCAGAAUAUCAUAAACCAGCUAGCAACUAUGAGUAUGGUACUUGAAAAUGAAUUGCAAGCUUUGUUGCUUUUGAGCUCGUUGCCAGAUGGCUGGGAGACCUUCGUCAUGAUUGUCAGUGAUUUUGCUGCUAAUGGUGUUUUAUCUGUGGAUUUUGUGAAAGAUGGCAUGCAGAACAAAGAAACAAGAAAAAAAAUUUCUGGGGUUUGCACGGGUAUUGAUAAAGCACAAGCUUUUGUUACUAUAAUUAGUUUAGAGUUAUGUCACAGUCAAUUAAGGAGGGCCAUAUCAAAAUAAAAUGCCUUAUUUUUCUGACAGAGCAAAUGGAAAGUGACAAUCAGAAAAUGGAAGAUGAUAAGAACAACAUGGUGAUUGUCCAUUUUCGUGCUGUGGAGAGACCCAAAGAAGAUGAAUUCUGCUUAGAGCUGUGAGUGUUUUUCUUGAUCUUAUUUUUCUGGACUGUUGAAGACUGUACUUUACUGAUUGUAUGCUUGUUCCCUUUAUCAUAAUUUUCUGAGCAAGUUUAGGUUGAUUUAUCUAACCAAUUUGGGCAAAAUUUCCAGAGCAGAGAACCACACAUAUUUUGAUGUCGUGGAAAGGGUAGCUCAACACCUUGGGUUGGAUGAUAUAACUAAAAUUCAGCUUACUCCUCAAGAUUACUAUUCUUAGAAACCAAAGCCCAAUCCUAUUAAAUAUAGAUCAGUUGAUCGCCUACUAGACAUGCUUGUCAACUACAAUCAGGUAGCUCCAACACACCGUCUUUUACUCUGUUUUAUUGUAGCGGCACAGUAUUCAGAUGUUGAUGGAUCAAUAAUUGUUUGCUUUCUUUCUAAUAGAGCUCUAAUAUUCUGUAUUAUGAAGUAAUGGACAAUCCUUUACCAGCAUUGCAAUGUCUGAAGACUCUAAGAGUUUCUUUUCGUCAUGCCACAAAGGAUGAGGUGGGAAAACUAUGGAUGUCGUCAUUGUACUGUUCUUCUUCUUCUUUUUUUUUUUUUAAUAUCAUGUGACCUAUAAAAACUUCUCAUUUCAGGCCGUAGUACUGAAUAUUAGAUUGCCGAAACAAAGCACCGUGGGAGAUAUUUUUAAUGAGAUCAAAACAAAGGUUUGCAUGAGCAAGUCACAUGGAAAUGUUUUCCGAAAAUUCGAACUUCUAUCAUCUUUCAUUGUUCUUAAGACUAUUUGCAGCAGUUAAUAUAGAAAUUGUGUUUUCAUCAUUAUUUCAUGGGGCAAAAUAUAAGAUAUACUGACUAGCGCAGGAUUGACAAUUUCUCAUGUCUUCUGCAGGUAAAGUUGUCUCAACCAAAUGCAGAACUCAGGUUGCUCGAAAUUUUCUAUCACAAAAUUUAUAAGGUAAUGUGGUCACUUGCCCGCUCUGAAGUCGGUUGCAGUUUAGUCCUGUUAUUAUGGCAUAAAUUUUAGUACAAAUCUAGCACCAUAAGAUCUGGCCUUCAUUGUAGAUUGCUUUUGUUGUAGACUCUUAUGCAACAAAAUACAAUGUAGGUUCUUUGUUUUAUGAUGCAUCCAUAUUCUUCUGUUUCCAAUUCUGCAGAUCUUUCCGCUCAACGAAAAGAUUGAAAGGAUAAAUGAUCAGUACUGGACAUUAAAGGCUGAGGAGGUUACUUUGUUGCUCACAAAAUCUUCCUCUUGCGUUCUUUUCUCACAAUUUUCAUGCAUGUACAUGGUUUUUUGUUCAGUUGCCUCAUUAUUCCUCUAAGUUCGAGUAUGCUCAUAUGCUGUCUGAAAGAAUUCAGGAAGAUGCUUUUUUACCGCUUUAUUUUUGGUCUUAUCCUUAUAUUUGCAUACAUAUGGUGAUAUACAUAGAGUAAUACACACACAGAUAUAGAUGCACAAGUACACGAGCUUUAUUGCUCUCAGAAUUGCCCUCUUGUUCACUUUUUCAUGCUUUCAUAGUUGUCUCUUCUGUUCACAACCUCGUUUUCUCUGUAACUAUAAAAUUUAGUAACUUGAUGCCAUUCAUGGAAUCCAGGAAGUUCACAGUUCUAGAUUUGGUCUUAUUUUUUUUAUAAAAUAUUGUCAUAUGGUUCUACAGGUCGGCUUUUCUUGUGAUAGUUCUUCACUUAUAGUUUUUGUUAUAGUGAUAUUCAUUCAUGUUGCUUUCUGUUCCAAUGUUUCUGACUUCAAAUUUGGGUAACUAUCAUUCCAAAUUCCUGAAGAAGAGAAGAACCUUGGUCCCAAUAGCCAUUUGAUUCAUGUUUACCAUUUUAUGAAACAGAAUGCACAGAAUCAAACGGUACUUUAGCAAUCACAUAAUCUCUGUGUUUAUUGUCAUUUAAUGUCAUUGAUUCUUUUUGGACAUAAUUUUAAUGGUAAUGAGCUUGAUAUUGAAAAUGUGGCUUAUAUUCACUGUUUCCCAUACAGCAAGUCGAGAAUUUUGGGGAACCCUUCGUUUUGGUCAUUCGUGAAGGUGAUACUCUAGCAGAUGUUAAAAUGCGGAUUCAAAAGAAAUUGCUGGUUCCUAACGAGGAAUUCUCUAAGGUAUAUUCCAUUCUCAUUGGAUCUA
This 3047-nucleotide long non-coding RNA is filed under the name Olea europaea subsp. europaea. The record is from RNAcentral. Lineage: Eukaryota; Viridiplantae; Streptophyta; Magnoliopsida; Lamiales; Oleaceae.